UACCUGAUUGAUUCUGUCAGCGCGAUAUGCUCAAGUAAAAGAUUAAGCCAUGCAUGCUUUGAUUCAUAAAUGAAAUUGCGUACGGCUCAUUAGAGCAGAUAUCACCUUUCUCGGAAUCCUGAAAAGGUAUAACUGCGGAAAUUCUGGAGCUAAUACAUGCGACUAUACUCCAACGCAAGGCGGGGUGCAAUUAUUAGAACAGACCAAACGUUUUCGGACGUUGUUUGUUGACUCUGAAUACCGUCGUUUACUGUCAGUUUCGACUGACUCUAUCCGAGAAGGGUGUCUGCCCUUUCAACUAGAUGGUAAUCUAUUGGACUACCAUGGUUGUUACGGGUAACGGAGAAUUAGGGUUCGACUCCGGAGAGGGAGCCUUAGAAACGGCUACCACGUCCAAGGAAGGCAGCAGGCGCGAAACUUAUCCACUGUUGAGUAUGAGAUAGUGACUAAAAAUAUAAAGACUCAUCCUUUUGGAUGAGUUAUUUCAAUGAGUUGAAUAUAAAUUAUUCUUCGAGUAGCAAGGAGAGGGCAAGUCUGGUGCCAGCAGCCGCGGUAAUUCCAGCUCUCCUAGUGUAUCUCGUUAUUGCUGCGGUUAAAAAGCUCGUAGUUGGAUCUAGGUUACGUGCC
RNAcentral lists this non-coding RNA (627 nucleotides) under Caenorhabditis japonica. RNAcentral's name for it is "Eukaryotic small subunit ribosomal RNA". It matches the Rfam family "Eukaryotic small subunit ribosomal RNA", at positions 1 to 653 of the family's 1831-position model. The record is from Rfam by way of RNAcentral. Lineage: Eukaryota; Metazoa; Nematoda; Chromadorea; Rhabditida; Rhabditidae.